UGAGUACGAGAUGCUACGGCAUCGAAGCAGUCUAUGUCAUACUUCCAAGAAAAGCUUGCAAUGUCAUAAACAAAUAAUGCCUGUACCAUAACCGACACAGGUGGGUAGGUAGAGUAUACUAAGGGGCGCGAGAUAACUCUCUCUAAGGAACUCGGCAAAAUGACUCCGUAACUUCGGGAGAAGGAGUGCCUUAUUUUUAUAAGGUUGCAAUAACAAGAUCCAAGCAACUGUUUACCAAAAACACAGGUCUCCGCUAAGUCGUAAGACGAUGUAUGGGGGCUGACGCCUGCCCAGUGCCAGAAGGUUAAAGAAGUUGGUUAGCAUUAGCGAAGCUGAUAACUGAAGCCCUGGUGAACGGCGGCCGUAACAAUAACGGUCCUAAGGUAGCGAAAUUCCUUGUCGGGUAAGUUCCGACCCGCACGAAAGGCGUAAUGAUUUGGAUACUGUCUCGGAGAGGGGCUCGGUGAAAUAGACUUGUCUGUGAAGAUGCGGACUACCUGCACCUGGACAGAAAGACCCUAUGAAGCUUUACUGUAACUUGAGAUUGAAAUUGGACUUUAUCUGCGCAGUAUAGGUGGGAGACGUUGAAAAUAUUCUUGCGGGAAUAUUGGAGUCAUCAGUGAGAUACCACUCUUAUAAUGUUAGAUUUCUAACUUUGUAUCAUUAUCUGGUCAAAGAACAGUUUCAGGCGGGCAGUUUGACUGGGGCGGUCGCCUCCCAAACGGUAACGGAGGCGCACAAAGGUUUCCUCUGAACGUGUAGAAAUCGUAUCUAGAGUGUAAAGGCAUAAGGAAGCUUGACUGUGAGACCUACAAGUCGAGCAGGGACGAAAGUCGGUCUUAGUGAUCUGACGGUGCUGAGUGGAAAGGCCGUCACUCAACGGAUAAAAGUUACUCUAGGAUAACAGGCUGAUCUCCCCCAAGAGUUCACAUCGACGGGGAGGUUUGGCACCUCGAUGUCGGCUCAUCGCAUCCUGGGGCGGUAGUACGUCCCAAGGGUUGGGCUGUUCGCCCAUGAAAGCGGUACGCGAGCUGGGUUCAGAACGUCGUGAGACAGUUCGGUCCAUAUCCGGUGUAGGCGUUAGAAUAUUGAGAGGAGCCUUCUUUAGUACGAGAGGACCGAGAAGGACAUACCUCUGGUGUACCAGUUAUCGUGCCAACGGUAAACGCUGGGUAGCCAUGUAUGGAGAGGAUAACCGCUGAAAGCAUCUAAGUGGGAAGCCCACCUCAAGAUAAGUAUUCUCAU
RNAcentral lists this ribosomal RNA (1245 nucleotides) under metagenome. RNAcentral describes it as "bacterial LSU rRNA". It matches the Rfam family "Bacterial large subunit ribosomal RNA", at positions 1564 to 2817 of the family's 2925-position model. The record is from RNAcentral.